CAAACCUUUUCCCAAAUAUGCACACAUGAACAUAGGCAAUUAGUCCAUUAGCCAUAAAAACGUAACUUUUUUUUUUUUUUUUUGCACAGUUGAACACUUAACACACACACACAUAUAUAUAUGUUCACUGACUACAUGCAUAAUGUGUGUCUUUGUGUUUAAAAUUAUUCUAAAUAUGACCAAAACCAACUCGUUAUUGCUCGUGUUAAAUGGACUUUCUGCAGCGCACUUCUUCUGGCAAGACCUUGGUCACUUAUAACCAGCACAGCAGUAAAACUUUUGCAUGAGGCGGACAGAAAACCAUCUUGAUGUGCGACUGCAGAGCAGUUACAUGAACAGGCAUGCUGCGGCUUGUUUGGUCUCACUCUUCUUCACAUUGGAAGCUUAUCCACCUUUGGGCGCAGAGGCCUUCACAGACCACCUUUACUUCACCUGGACUGUUACGAAGCUCUGUAAGGCAGAUCCUCGUAUCCAGAUUUAUCCAGAUUCUCAGCAGCUCAGAACUUCUAAUGGUGUGUUCUAUUUGGGCAAGGGCUUUAAAUUAUGGUGUUUUCAGGUGAAUUUAUGAUGAUGGAACUCUCGGGUGUCUGUAUGACAAAGAGAAAGAGAAAAGCAUUUAGUCUGUGCAUUACCAAGUCAAUUGUGUGCUUGACUGGCGAAACGCCUGGCUGAUCAUUUUUAAUGGAGGUUUCUGUGGCAGAGUGACUGUAGUCAGCUCUUAUCAGUCCCAAAGAUCUGACUGAGUAGUCCAUAUCUUUGGGUAAGCUUUCAAAUGGAGCAUCCUGGGCUGUGUAUUUGAACUGUGAUCUUUUCCCAAAACCUGAGUAGUUUUCUUGCUUAGACCUCCAUGUAUCAGACAAUACAAUAGAAAUAGAGGUAGUCAGUAAGUGAAAGUACAUUUAAAAUAAAAAGUCCAAAAGACAUGCGUCAAACAAAAUGACUGUGUUGAAAGUCAUUUUUCGCAUCGUGAUUUCUUUGGACUGUUAUAAAAGCAUACAUCUUUUAUAACUUUAUGAAAACAAGUAUUUGGUGCACAAGUUUGAAUUCAUUUUGGACUUUCUCUAAUCCACACCGUGUCAGAAUUAUACAUGCAUGCUCCAAUAUAUAGAUCAACCACCCCUAUUAAUAUUAAUGUAAAUGUCCUUUAGCCACAUAAACCAGGUGCUUUCCAUAGCCAAGAACCGUCUUAUGGCUGGAUAUUUGAACCCUCUUCUUGGCUGAACUGGUAGAGAGUCAUUCGUCUCAAAUUCUGUAGAAUUUUAGCUUUAAAUAUCACACAUACUUUACAUACUACAUACUGACAUUUUCAGUGGCCUUUCUUACCAUCAAAAUAAACCUGGAUCUAUAAUUUGGGACAGGUACAUUAAAAAAAAUGUCUGCGUGCUUGCUAGUUGAAAAUAUGGAAAAAAAAAGUGUCUGAUAUUUAAACAGACACUAGUAAAAAAAACUUGUAAAAGUCAGCUAGUGAUCAUCUCUGAUCAACAGCCUUAUUAAAUGCAGAGUAGUUUGGGCCCAGAAGCAGGAUUCAACAUGUCAUCACUUAAAGACCAGAUACAAUAGAAACAGAGGUGAGAGUCAAGUUACACACACAAAAAAAAAGCCAGUCAAAAUGAAUGCAAAGUCCAAGAGACAUGCAUCACACAAAAUAUCUGUGUUGUGUCAUGUGGCCUAAAUCUUUUUUCACAUCGUAGACAAAGAUGUUGUGGAAAUUUGGGGACUCCUGCAGAGACCCAUAUUUGAACAGACACAGUAAAAAAAAACUUGCAAAAGUCAGCUGGUGAUCAUUUCUGAAUGGUGUAUUACUGAAUUUCACAAUAAUGCAAAAUAAAACAGGUAGAUUAUUUUUCAACAUGAAAUUGUUAGUCACACAAAAAAAGAAAAUGCUACUUUUGUCUAACUUUCAUCGUUUUUUUAAUCAGCUCCUCACAAAGGAAAAUUAACCCAGUGAUCUGUGCGUUUCUUCCCAGCAGAGAGAAGUCCAGUAUCGAGCACAUAAGCAGGCCCAGUUUUGUUUUGUUUUUUAACCUACAGUUGGUGGAAAAAUAGAUUUUUGUAGUUACAGCUGGACCUCUGCUGACAAAAAAAAAAAAAAAAAAAAGAACACUUAGUGGGAACAAAUAUCAAAUCAGUCAAGGCUGUGUUUCCAUUCAGGUCUUGUCUGGUCUCAUCAGUCAAGGAAACCACAUGUGUGAAAUAUUAAGUCUUUUAAAGGCACCGUUUAUGAAAGUAGUAGUACAGUAAAAAUUACCAUUAAUAAAUUGGAACCCUCUUCAACAUCUGUGGGAAAUGGGUUUUGCUAAAAAGAGAAGAAAACAAUACUGUUAAAGCAAAAACACCCUGAACAGGGUUUAACACAAAGUUGACUCUCCACAAAUGUUAAGAAACAGAUAAAUCACUUCUGUUGUUCUUAUUAAUGAAAUGUAAUAUCUAAGUAAGACUAUCAAAUAACUGCAAGUUUAGUUGUAUCCUAAUCCUCUGUGCUUCAGUUACAGUGAGUUAGCAUCCACAUUCUACAAAAAUA
Oreochromis aureus is the source of this 2521-nucleotide long non-coding RNA. NCBI's taxonomy places the organism in Eukaryota, Metazoa, Chordata, Actinopteri, Cichliformes, Cichlidae. The record is from Ensembl.